AGCGGCAAGGGGGAGCAAUCCCCCCUAGAGCGGCGGACUGGUGAGUAACACGUGGGUGACCUGCCUUUGUCUUGGGGAUAGCCAUUAGAAAUAGUGGGUAAUACCGAAUACGCUUGCACACGUAGAGGUGUGUAAGGAAAGGCGCUACGGCGCCGGACGAAGAUGGGCCCGCGUCCCAUUAGCUAGUUGGUGAGGUAACGGCUCACCAAGGCGAUGAUGGGUAGGCGGCCUGAGAGGGUGUACGCCCACAUUGGGACUGAGAUACGGCCCAAACUCCUACGGGAGGCAGCAGCUAAGAAUAUUCCGCAAUGGACGAAAGUCUGACGGAGCGACGCCGCGUGGAUGACGAAGGCCGAAAGGUUGUAAAAUCCUUUUGCUGGGGAAGAAUAAGCAUGGGAGGGAAUGCCCGUGUGAUGACAUGAACCGGCGAAUAAGCCCCGGCUAACUACGUGCCAGCAGCCGCGGUAAUA
This 470-nucleotide ribosomal RNA is filed under the name uncultured bacterium. RNAcentral's name for it is "bacterial SSU rRNA". It matches the Rfam family "Bacterial small subunit ribosomal RNA", at positions 65 to 525 of the family's 1533-position model. The record is from RNAcentral.